GCAAUUGUAGUCCAAGGGAAGGACGCCGCUCUACGGAAGCGGAGAUGCGCGUUCAAAUCGUGCCAGUUGCCC
RNAcentral lists this transfer RNA (72 nucleotides) under Abditibacteriota bacterium. RNAcentral's name for it is "tRNA-Arg(acg)". It matches the Rfam family "tRNA". From Rfam's summary of the family: Transfer RNA (tRNA) molecules are approximately 80 nucleotides in length. Lineage: Bacteria; Pseudomonadati; Abditibacteriota. The record is from RNAcentral.